GCUCCAAUAGCGUAUAUUAAAGUUGUUGCGGUUAAAAAGCUCGUAGUUGGAUUUCUGCCGAGGACGACCGGUCCGCCUCUGGGUGAGCAUCUGGCUCGGCCUGGGCAUCUUCUUGGAGAACGUAUCUGCACUUGACUGUGUGGUGCGGUAUUCAGGACUUACUUGAGGAAAUUAGAGUGUUUCAAGCAGCAUACGCCUUG
RNAcentral lists this ribosomal RNA (200 nucleotides) under uncultured eukaryote. RNAcentral's name for it is "partial 18S ribosomal RNA". It matches the Rfam family "Eukaryotic small subunit ribosomal RNA", at positions 588 to 797 of the family's 1831-position model. The record is from RNAcentral.